AUUUGGCACCUGUGGAAUAAUCA
Molecule: microRNA, 23 nt
Filed under: Nautilus pompilius
Lineage: Eukaryota; Metazoa; Mollusca; Cephalopoda; Nautilida; Nautilidae
Description: Npo-Mir-96-P1i_5p (mature (guide))
Source: RNAcentral